GGGGUUUCAAAGACUAGACAGAGAGCCUGGUGGGGCCGGCUAGACUCCGCCCUAGUCCCGAGUCAGUUCAACAGAAGAGUAGAACUAGGCCGGGGGUGAACGGGACUUUGUAUCAGGCGCCUACGGAGCGCGGGUAGGGCACGCAUCCUGGAGUCCUCCCCAAGGCCACUGCAGUCCCCCACCGGCUCUCCAUGUGCUCCCGGGGCCGCGGAGAGCAUCUGCCCCGUGGGCCCCUAUGGGAGACAGACAGGCCGCCCCCUCCAGGGGGUGGGACUGCCCUGUGCGCAGCUGCAGCCAGCUCCUGUCCGGCCGGAGGGUUUCUGGCCACCUCCGCCUUCUCCUCCUCCCCAGCAUCCGCCGCCGCAGCUGCGGCUUUCUCCCCCCCCCCCCGAAGUUGUCCCAGGCUCGGGCUCAGGGCGCCGCUUUUCUGGGUUCUGGUUCGACCCGUCCGAGGCCUUCCCCGCGCACGCGUGUCCGUGUCCCCCGUGGCGGGCUUGGCUGCCCCGAGCACGCCGCUGCAGGCCUCCGGGGCUUGACCAUUUCCCUUCAGGCCCCCCAGCUCUCAGCGAGGCUCAGUCUCUUGCACACCCACUGCUCACCUCGUCGCGUCCCAACACGGAAGACUCAGUUGCUUUAGGAGCAAUUAAAACACGUAGGGAGCAAAUGUGGCUGUAAUUACUGAGGCAUACGCUCACAAUUUCCUAGUAAGGUGAACUCAGGGUUCCUUCCAUCACUGCAUUCACAAGUGACUUUUUCUCUUCUUCUGGAGCCUGAUAGAACCCAGCUGAGGGCAUUAAGUAUACACUUUUAUCUCCACUGGGAUGACAUAUUAAUAAAAGGUAUGUCAAGUAAUCCUUUAUUUCCUUU
Molecule: long non-coding RNA, 867 nt
Filed under: Phascolarctos cinereus (koala)
Lineage: Eukaryota; Metazoa; Chordata; Mammalia; Diprotodontia; Phascolarctidae
Description: lncRNA (ENSPCIG00000007689.2)
Source: RNAcentral